AGACCCGAAACCCGGUGAUCUAGCCAUGGGCAGGUUGAAGGUUGGGUAACACUAACUGGAGGACCGAACCGACUAAUGUUGAAAAAUUAGCGGAUGACCUGUGGCUGGGGGUGAAAGGCCAAUCAAACCGGGAGAUAGCUGGUUCUCCCCGAAAGCUAUUUAGGUAGCGCCUCGUGAAUUCAUCUCCGGGGGUAGAGCACUGUUUCGGCUAGGGGGCCAUCCCGGCUUACCAACCCGAUGCAAACUGCGAAUACCGGAGAAUGUUAUCACGGGAGACACACGGCGGGUGCUAACGUCCGUCGUGAAGAGGGAAACAACCCAGACCGCCAGCUAAGGUCCCAAAGUCAUGGUUAAGUGGGAAACGAUGUGGGAAGGCCCAGACAGCCAGGAUGUUGGCUUAGAAGCAGCCAUCAUUUAAAGAAAGCGUAAUAGCUCACUGGUCGAGUCGGCCUGCGCGGAAGAUGUAACGGGGCUAAACCAUGCACCGAAGCUGCGGCAGCGACACUGUGUGUUGUUGGGUAGGGGAGCGUUCUGUAAGCCUGUGAAGGUGUGUCGUGAGGCAUGCUGGAGGUAUCAGAAGUGCGAAUGCUGACAUAAGUAACGAUAAAGCGGGUGAAAAGCCCGCUCGCCGGAAGACCAAGGGUUCCUGUCCAACGUUAAUCGGGGCAGGGUGAGUCGACCCCUAAGGCGAGGCCGAAAGGCGUAGUCGAUGGGAAACGGGUUAAUAUUCCCGUACUUGGUGUUACUGCGAAGGGGGGACGGAGAAGGCUAUGUUGGCCGGGCGACGGUUGUCCCGGUUUAAGCGUGUAGGUGUGUGUUCCAGGUAAAUCCGGUUCA
Molecule: ribosomal RNA, 837 nt
Filed under: Salmonella enterica
Lineage: Bacteria; Pseudomonadati; Pseudomonadota; Gammaproteobacteria; Enterobacterales; Enterobacteriaceae
Description: partial 23S ribosomal RNA
Rfam family: Bacterial large subunit ribosomal RNA
Source: RNAcentral